This 73-nucleotide transfer RNA is filed under the name Scleroderma citrinum Foug A. It matches the Rfam family "tRNA". Rfam says of the family: Transfer RNA (tRNA) molecules are approximately 80 nucleotides in length. Their secondary structure includes four short double-helical elements and three loops (D, anti-codon, and T loops). Lineage: Eukaryota; Fungi; Basidiomycota; Agaricomycetes; Boletales; Sclerodermataceae. The record is from Rfam by way of RNAcentral.
GGACCAGUGGUGCAGUGGUAGUGCACCAUGCCUGGUGUGAUGGGGGACCCAGGUUCAACUCCUGGCCAGUCCA